This is a long non-coding RNA of Triticum aestivum (bread wheat), 479 nucleotides long. RefSeq lists it as uncharacterized. The record is from RefSeq and is a predicted model, not a curated record. Lineage: Eukaryota; Viridiplantae; Streptophyta; Magnoliopsida; Poales; Poaceae. The transcript has 4 exons.
CUCAAAGGGAAGCAGCGGCGGCUCCAUGGAAACACGCAACUUAGUGAUCUAAGAUCAAUCUUCCUAUUCAUUCAUUGCACGCUGUUAUUCUGCAGGACCGGCGAAGUGCAAGGUCAUGUACAAGGGAUAAGCUGGUCAAUGAAGGAAAUUCUAAAAGAAAGCGACUACAAGCAACAUUUGAAGUGAGCUGGGAGCCGGGGUCAUCCUUCUCACCACCAGUCGAACAUACUACUUCAGCCACCAUGUUGAGCGAUAUAAAAGUGUUCUCUAUUUCAGAGAGCAACAACACGAGAUUGUGCCCCCUCUUGCUCCAGGUGCAUGUUGCUGUAAUUAGUAUCAACAGAUUAAAUCAUGGGCCAUGUCUCUGUUUCAUACCACCUCUGUUCAUAAAUAGAUAGCUUCCUAGAGAUUGUGCAGUCCUAAGGCCAUCCACACUAUUGGCCGUUAAAGCGUAUUGAGUGCAUCAAGCCUAAUUUUCU